RNAcentral lists this ribosomal RNA (421 nucleotides) under uncultured bacterium. RNAcentral describes it as "partial 16S ribosomal RNA". It matches the Rfam family "Bacterial small subunit ribosomal RNA", at positions 360 to 773 of the family's 1533-position model. The record is from RNAcentral.
AAUAUUUGACAAUGGGGGCAACCCUGAUCCAGCCAUGCCGCGUGUGUGAUGAAGGUCUUCGGAUUGUAAAGCACUUUAAGCUGGGAGGAAGGGCUUUAGGCUAAUACCCUGUAGUUUUGACGUUACCAACAGAAUAAGCACCGGCUAGCUCUGUGCUAGCAGCCGUGGUAAUACAGAGGGUGCAAGAGUUAAUCGGAAUUACUGUGCGUAAGGCGCGCGUAGGUGGUUCAGUAAGAUGGGUGUGAAAUCCCCGGGCAUAACCUGGGAACUGCUUUCAAAACUGCAGAGCUAGAGUACGGGAAAGGGUAGUGGAAUUUCCUGUGUAGCGGUGAAAUGCGUAGAUAUAGGAAGGAACACCAGUGGCGAAGGCGACUACCUGGACUGAUACUGACACUGAGGUGCGAAAGCGUGGGGAGCAAAC